RNAcentral lists this ribosomal RNA (253 nucleotides) under uncultured bacterium. RNAcentral's name for it is "partial 16S ribosomal RNA". It matches the Rfam family "Bacterial small subunit ribosomal RNA", at positions 524 to 776 of the family's 1533-position model. The record is from RNAcentral.
UACGUAGGGUGCAAGCGUUGUCCGGAAUUAUUGGGCGUAAAGAGCUCGUAGGCGGUCUGUCGCGUCGGCUGUGAAAACCCGGAGCUCAACUCCGGGCCUGCAGUCGAUACGGGCAGACUGGAGUUCGGCAGGGGAGACUGGAAUUCCUGGUGUAGCGGUGAAAUGCGCAGAUAUCAGGAGGAACACCGGUGGCGAAGGCGGGUCUCUGGGCCGAUAUUGACGCUGAGGAGCGAAAGCGUGGGGAGCGAACAGG